RNAcentral lists this transfer RNA (82 nucleotides) under Alligator mississippiensis (American alligator). It matches the Rfam family "tRNA". Rfam says of the family: Transfer RNA (tRNA) molecules are approximately 80 nucleotides in length. Their secondary structure includes four short double-helical elements and three loops (D, anti-codon, and T loops). Further hydrogen bonds mediate the characteristic L-shaped molecular structure. tRNAs have two regions of fundamental functional importance: the anti-codon, which is responsible for specific mRNA codon recognition, and the 3' end, to which the tRNAs corresponding amino acid is attached (by aminoacyl-tRNA synthetases). tRNAs cope with the degeneracy of the genetic code in two manners: having more than one tRNA (with a specific anti-codon) for a particular amino acid; and 'wobble' base-pairing, i.e. permitting non-standard base-pairing at the 3rd anti-codon position. The record is from Rfam by way of RNAcentral. Lineage: Eukaryota; Metazoa; Chordata; Crocodylia; Alligatoridae.
GCCAAGGUGGCUGAGUGCUUAAGGGGAUGGACUGCUAAUCUAUUGUGUUCUGCACUCAUGGGUUUGAAUCCCAUCCUUGUUG